AAAUCCCUUGUGGUUUGAUUCGGAUCGGACCCAUUUUAGUUCAGGUUGGAUCCUUCAUGGUUUGGUUCAAGUCAAACUAGCUUGUAGUUUGAUUUGGUUCGGUUAAUGUCUUUAAUGGUUCAAUUAGACUUAUUGAUUAGACUUGAUCGGCUUAUCAUCCGAUUUGAUUUGUCAUUAUGGUUUGGUUGACUCGAGUCAAGUCUAUCACGAAGACGACGACCCGGUUUAAUUGAACCGAACUCGGGUCAAGCCUAUCACGAAGACGGCGACCCGGUUUAAUUAAGCGAACCCGAGUCAAGCCUAUCACGAAGACGGCGACCCGGUUUAAUUAACCGAUCCCGGGUCAAGCCUAUCACGAAGACGGCGACCCGGUUUAAUUAACCGAACCCGGGUCAAGCCUAUCACGAAGACGGCG
Molecule: long non-coding RNA, 415 nt
Filed under: Ananas comosus (pineapple)
Lineage: Eukaryota; Viridiplantae; Streptophyta; Magnoliopsida; Poales; Bromeliaceae
Description: long non-coding RNA (ACOM_LNC031899)
Source: RNAcentral